GAGUUUGAUCAUGGCUCAGAACGUACGCUGGCGGCACGCCUAACACAUGCAAGUCGAACGCAGUAGCAAUACUGAGUGGCAAACGGGUGAGUAUAAUGUGGGAAUCUGCCUUUUGGUUUGGAAUAACACGGGGAAACUUGUGCUAAUACCGGAUAAGCCCUUACGGGGAAAGUUUUAACGCCGAAAGAUGAGCCUGCACUUGAUUAGCUAGUUGGUAAGGUAAAGGCUUACCAAGGCUACGAUCAAUAGCUGUUCUUAGAGGAAGACCAGCCACAUUGGGACUGAGACACGGCCCAGACUCCUACGGGAGGCAGCAGUGGGGAAUCUUGCACAAUGGGGGAAACCCUGAUGCAGCGAUGCCGCGUGAGUGAAGAAGGCCCUUGGGUUGUAAAACUCUUUCGUCGGGGAAGAAAAUGACUGUACCCGAAUAAGAAGGUCCGGCUAACUUCGUGCCAGCAGCCGCGGUAAUACGAAGGGACCUAGCGUAGUUCGGAAUUACUGGGCUUAAAGAGCUCGUAGGUGGUUAAAAAAGUUGAUGGUGAAAUCCCAAGGCUCAACCUUGGAACUGCCAUCAAAACUUUUUAGCUAGAGUGUGAUAGAGGUAAGUGGAAUUUCUAGUGUAGAGGUGAAAUUCGUAGAUAUUAGAAAGAACACCAAAUGCGAAGGCAACUUACUGGGUCACUACUGACACUGAGGAGCGAAAGCAUGGGUAGCGAAGAGGAUUAGAUACCCUCGUAGUCCAUGCCGUAAACGAUGUGUGCUAGACGUUGGAAAUAUAUUUUUCAGUGUCGCAGCGGAAGCAUUAAGCACACCGCCUGGGGAGUACGACCGCAAGGUUAAAACUCAAAUGAAUUGACGGGGACCCGCACAAGCAGUGGAGCAUGUGGUUUAAUUCGAAGAUACGCGCAGAACCUUACCAACACUUGACAUGUUCGUCGCGAGACUAAAGGGAUUAGUCUUUUUCAGUUCGGGCUGGAC
Molecule: ribosomal RNA, 978 nt
Filed under: uncultured bacterium
Lineage: Bacteria
Description: bacterial SSU rRNA
Rfam family: Bacterial small subunit ribosomal RNA
Source: RNAcentral